RNAcentral lists this ribosomal RNA (253 nucleotides) under uncultured bacterium. RNAcentral describes it as "partial 16S ribosomal RNA". It matches the Rfam family "Bacterial small subunit ribosomal RNA", at positions 524 to 776 of the family's 1533-position model. The record is from RNAcentral.
UACGUAGGGGGCAAGCGUUGUCCGGAAUCAUUGGGCGUAAAGCGCGCGUAGGUGGCCCAGUAAGUCCGUUGUGAAAGUCAAAGGCUCAACCUUUGAAAGCCGAUGGAUACUGCUGGGCUCGAGUCCGGAAGAGGCGAGUGGAAUUCCUGGUGUAGCGGUGGAAUGCGCAGAUAUCUGGAGGAACACCAGUGGCGAAGGCGGCAUCCUGGACCGGUAUUGACGCUGAGGCGCGAAAGCUAGGGGAGCGAACGGG